Molecule: long non-coding RNA, 1441 nt
Organism: Dermacentor silvarum
Lineage: Eukaryota; Metazoa; Arthropoda; Arachnida; Ixodida; Ixodidae
Exons: 4
Source: RefSeq, a predicted model, not a curated record
UGUAAUUUUCGUUCGUGCAUCCGUGUUAACGCAAUGUUCUCCGCGGUUUGUGUGUUAUUCGUGAACGCAAUCGGAACGAGUCCUCAUCAACGCAGUUUAACGCGACUGUAAGUAAAGGGAAGCAGCGGGCGCCUUCACCGGCGCGGCCCUCGGCGAUCGCUUUGUUUGUAUGUGUCGCGCGCACGGUUCAACUUUUGAAUACCGUGGCUGCGCGUUGUCGCAGUGCAGUGAUGAUUAUAUGCCAGUGCUCAUCGUGAAACUGCACAAACCGCGUCACUGCUGAUGGAGCUGCCACGUACGUAGACGGCGGCGCCCGAGAAGACCUUUUCUGAAGAGAAUGCGUGCCUGGCGAUUGCCACUUCCAGUCGCAACUUUUACAAAGUGGCAGCUGGCCUCCAUGGGGCGGUGCAGACAGGGGACUGUCAUUGCUGGAGCACCUCCUGGCUAUCCACAGGAAAUGGAAAAAACAUGGUAAAUUCAAACCCCCUCUGGUUCUCAUUUUCAUGUUUCCAUAAGUGUGUGUGUGUUCAUCACCCUGAAGUUACUUAAAUUUGAAAACGAAGCCAUAUAAAGUAUACUCAUGGUCUCACCUAGUGCAUUAUUAAACAUAAAAGUACAAAAUCACGCAGCUUAAGAACCUCAAAGAUAAUUUGUAGCAGAUCAGUCACUGCAGAGGUCAGGAUAUGUAUUGUCGAUGCUCGCAGACAAUAGAAUUGCAGACUUGUUCAUCAUUAAAAGCAAUUAUACAUUUAGGGUGUGAACAUUUGGUAAUGGUUUGAGUGAAUGCUAGAGACGACUGCAUGAAUAUGCCACCCCUAACGUAAUGCCCUGACAGAGGCCCUUAAAGAUGAAAUAAAUGACGAUAAGAAGCUUGGUAACAGAUUUGUGCAACGAGCGAAUUGUAGCACGCACAGGGAAAAAUACACGAGAAGGCACAAAGAAUACACACACGUAGCACUUCAUUGUGCCUUCUCAUAUCUUUAUUCCCUGUUCGCGCUACAGCUCGCUCAUUUCAACAUGAACAACCAACAAGCCCACAUCGCCACUCAGAUUUGUGCAGUUUCCUUCGAGUCAUAUUUGGGUAAUGUACCACAGACUAUAUUUUAAGUGAAAUAAGUUAUAUUUCCUCGUUUAAUUGGCCAACACUGUAGUUAGGCUCUGGGUAUAUUUUGGCCAGGCAUCAGCGUGCUACAGUCAAAUUCAAACUUGCGAAACUAAAAAGCAAAAAGAAAGGGAACUGUUUCCUCAUGCAUACCGCCGCAAACAGCCUGUUUUCACAACGCGGACGACACCGUGUCAAAGGAAGUUAUGGAAAAGAGACUGAAAUCAGUGCACUGGUACCCCUUGCAGCAAUUGGGUAAUGUGCUGUAGUAGUGAACUUUGCAAUAAAGUUUUAUCUCUGUUCAUAUUGCUUUCAGAUGUUAUAAAUGUGAUUUCCACA